This 235-nucleotide ribosomal RNA is filed under the name uncultured bacterium. Its description in RNAcentral is "partial 16S ribosomal RNA". It matches the Rfam family "Bacterial small subunit ribosomal RNA", at positions 524 to 755 of the family's 1533-position model. The record is from RNAcentral.
UACGUAGGGUGCAAGCGUUUGUCCGGAAUUAUUGGGCGUAAAGAGCUCGUAGGCGGUCUGUCGCGUCGGUUGUGAAAACCCAAGGCUCAACCUUGGGCCUGCAAUCGAUACGGGCAGACUAGAGUACUGCAGGGGAGACUGGAAUUCCUGGUGUAGCGGUGGAAUGCGCAGAUAUCAGGAGGAACACCGGUGGCGAAGGCGGGUCUCUGGGCCGAUUACUGACGCUGGAGGAGCG